GCCCUUCCAAUUCCUGUCGGGGCGACUUAUAUAAACCCUGCCGGUUUCGACCGGCUAUGGCGAUAAACGGACGAUGUAAUAAGCCUAUUGGACCCGGGGGCGGUACCCGGCGCCUCCACCAGAAUGCAGCAGAUAAGCUGCCUUGUGGCGGGGGCGAAAUAGGAUCGACAAGGGUGUAAAGAUCGCUCUUUUGCUCGGCAUGAUACCACCGUUAUCGGGUCAAAAGUGUAGUUGCAAACGACAACAACGCUAAGGGAUAUGCUCUCGCUGCCUAAUGGCGGUGCGGGAAUUCCGACCUAAGCCCUUUUGGUUAGCACCUUAAGGCGGGGUUCGGAGGCACCUGGCAACAGAAGCCUCCACU
Molecule: transfer-messenger RNA, 361 nt
Filed under: Paramesorhizobium salinisoli
Lineage: Bacteria; Pseudomonadati; Pseudomonadota; Alphaproteobacteria; Hyphomicrobiales; Phyllobacteriaceae
Description: Phyllobacterium salinisoli transfer-messenger RNA
Rfam family: Alphaproteobacteria transfer-messenger RNA
About the family: Bacterial tmRNA, also known as 10Sa RNA or SsrA, is named for its dual tRNA and mRNA-like properties. Its role is to liberate the mRNA from a stalled ribosome. To accomplish this part of the tmRNA is used as a reading frame that ends in a translation stop signal.
Source: RNAcentral